Molecule: RNA transcript, 2016 nt
Organism: Cucurbita moschata (crookneck pumpkin)
Lineage: Eukaryota; Viridiplantae; Streptophyta; Magnoliopsida; Cucurbitales; Cucurbitaceae
Gene name: protein ALTERED XYLOGLUCAN 4
Exons: 4
Source: RefSeq, a predicted model, not a curated record
AAAAAAGCGUAGAAGGAAACAAAAAUGAAAAAGGAAAAAGACGAGAGCUUUUGGUCUCUGUCUCUGCGUUGAAGUUGCAGAGAUCAAAAGAAGGUAAGGUCAUCAGCAAUGGUGUCCAUUACCAAUCUCUUGAAGGAGCCGAGGCAUUCACAGUUCAUCAAAAAGCUCGUUCCUUGGACCAUUUAUGCCCUUCUCCCCAUCGCCCUCUUCCGCUUGUAUUGUCAUCCAAUCCAUCUCCCAGAUUCUCCCAUUCAUCGGACCCCCCAAAUCAUAGCUUCUUCUUCUUUGUCGCCUCCUCAUUUUUCACCUUCCUCUGUUCAUGAAGAAGAAGAAGAAGUUAAUGCGGUUAAUGAAACUCCCUGUGACUACACCGACGGCCAAUGGGUCCCCGACAAGCUGGGACCUUUAUACAAUGGCUCAACCUGCGGCACAAUUAAAGACGCCCAAAAUUGCAUCGUUCAUGGCCGCUCUGAUUUGGGCUAUCUCUAUUGGCGAUGGAAGCCCCACAAAUGUUCUCUCCCAAGGUUCGAUCCCAGUAAAUUUUUUCACUUCAUGACUAACAAACACAUCGCCUUCAUCGGCGAUUCAAUGGCGAGGAACCAAUUAGAGUCCCUCCUCUGUAUUUUAGCCUCUGUUUCCACUCCGGAACUCGUUUACACUUCCGGCGAGGACAACAAAUUCCGGCGAUGGAAUUUCCCAUCUCAUAAUCUCACCGUUUCGGUCUACUGGUCGCCGUUUCUCGUCGACGGAAUUGAAAAAUCAAACGCCGGCCCUAACCACAAUGAACUGUUCUUACAUCGCGUAAACGAGAAAUGGGCUGUGGAUUUGGAUGAUUUUAACUUAGUAGUGUUCUCAAUCGGGCAUUGGUAUUUACAUCCCGCAGUGUAUUACGAAGGGGAUGAUUCUAUAAUGGGUUGCCAUUACUGCCCUAGUUUGAACCACACCGAGAUUGGAUUCUACGACGCGUUGAGAAAGGGAUUGAGGACGACGUUUGAGGCUGUAAUCGACAGAAGGGGUUCGUCAAGCAGCAAUGAAUUGGGUAUCUUUUUAGCGACAUUUUCGCCGUCGCAUUUUGAAGGAGAGUGGGACAAGGCAGGGGCGUGUCCUAAAACGAAGCCGUAUAAGGAAAGCGAGAAGAAAUUGGAGGGAAUGGAUGCGGAAAUAAGGGCGAUUGAAGUGGAGGAGGUGGAAGAAGCGAAGGGCAGAGCGAAGCAGAGUGGGGGGCUGAGAAUUGCAGCGUUGGAUGUGACGAAACUUUCAUUGCUGAGGCCUGAUGGGCACCCUGGGCCUUACAUGCAUCCGUUUCCAUACGGCAAUGGCGGCGUUGGGGAGCGGGUUCAGAAUGAUUGCGUUCAUUGGUGCCUGCCUGGGCCUGUGGACACUUGGAAUGAGAUACUCCUGCAGAUCAUGAACACCUGGGAGCAGCAAUCUGGACUGUGAGAGGAGAUGAAGAAUUGGUUGAUUAUUUGGAGUUGAUUGAAAUAAUGGAAGUCCAAGUGUAACUAUGAGUGAUGACGACACAAUUAGCGAGGUAUGCAUUCUAUGCCCAUCGCCGUCUGGGUUCCCUUUGGAUCUACGCCGCCAUCGCCUCCUUCCCCGCCAUUUCAGACCCAUUUCCCCUUUUCCUCUUCAAAACCUCUGAACAAUCUCACCUUCAAAACCUCAUCGGGGAUUUCAGCUAUUUUCAGGAAUUGGAAUCUGGGUCCAUCUGGGUUAGGGUUAUGAGGGACGAUGAACUCGACCCCAUUGUUGGGCUGCUCGCUCACUCAUUUGCACACUCCAUCUUCUGAAGCUAUGCUACAUGACAGUUAAAAAGGAGGUUCAGCUUCGGAGGACCAUUUCGAGAUCGAGUGUGUAUACGAGCUGAAAACUGCUGUAACAACCAAGUCCACUGCUGGCAAAUAUUGUCCUCUUUGGGCUUCCCCUCAAGGUUUUUAUAACACAUAUGCUAGGGUUCAAUUGUGAGAUCCCACAUCGAUUGGGGAGGAGAAUGAAACACCUUUUAUAAGGUGUCGA